RNAcentral lists this microRNA precursor (92 nucleotides) under Dipodomys ordii (Ord's kangaroo rat). RNAcentral's name for it is "miRNA (ENSDORG00000025022.1)". The record is from RNAcentral. Lineage: Eukaryota; Metazoa; Chordata; Mammalia; Rodentia; Heteromyidae.
CCUUGUUAUUAAGUGCAUGCAUUUAUAUGUGUGUGUGUUUACGUGCACACGUGCACAGACGCACACACGUGUGACAGUACUCGGGCUUGAAU